ACCCAGACCGCCAGCUAAGGUCCCAAAGUCAUGGUUAAGUGGGAAACGAUGUGGGAAGGCACAGACAGCCAGGAUGUUGGCUUAGAAGCAGCCAUCAUUAAAGAAAGCGUAAUAGCUCACUGGUCGAGUCGGCCUGCGCGGAAGAUGUAACGGGGCUAAACCAUGCACCGAAGCUGCGGCAGCGACACUAUGUGUUGUUGGGUAGGGGAGCGUUCUGUAAGCCGUUGAAGGUGUGCUGUGAGGCAUGCUGGAGGUAUCAGAAGUGCGAAUGCUGACAUAAGUAACGA
This 287-nucleotide ribosomal RNA is filed under the name Enterobacter cloacae. Its description in RNAcentral is "partial 23S ribosomal RNA". It matches the Rfam family "Bacterial large subunit ribosomal RNA", at positions 1025 to 1312 of the family's 2925-position model. Lineage: Bacteria; Pseudomonadati; Pseudomonadota; Gammaproteobacteria; Enterobacterales; Enterobacteriaceae. The record is from RNAcentral.